UACGGGGGGGGCAAGCGUUGUUCGGAAUUACUGGGCGUAAAGGGCUCGUAGGCGGCCAAUUAAGUCAGACGUGAAAUCCCUCGGCUUAACCGGGGAACUGCGUCUGAUACUGGAUGGCUAGAGAUUGGGAGAGGGAUGCGGAAUUCCAGGUGUAGCGGUGAAAUGCGUAGAUAUCAGGAGGAACACCGGUGGCGAAGGCGGUUCUCUGGGCAUUACCUGACGCUGAGGAGCGAAAGUGUGGGGAGCGAACAGG
Molecule: ribosomal RNA, 253 nt
Filed under: uncultured bacterium
Lineage: Bacteria
Description: partial 16S ribosomal RNA
Rfam family: Bacterial small subunit ribosomal RNA
Source: RNAcentral